Molecule: ribosomal RNA, 390 nt
Filed under: uncultured bacterium
Lineage: Bacteria
Description: bacterial SSU rRNA
Rfam family: Bacterial small subunit ribosomal RNA
Source: RNAcentral
AUUAAACGCUGGCGGCAUGCCUUACACAUGCAAGUCGAACGGCAGCACGGGGGCAACCCUGGUGGCGAGUGGCGAACGGGUGAGUAAAGCAUCGGAACGUGCCCUGGAGUGGGGGAUAACGUAGCGAAAGUUACGCUAAUACCGCAUAUUCUGUGAGCAGGAAAGCAGGGGAUCGCAAGACCUUGCGCUCUGGGAGCGGCCGAUGUCGGAUUAGCUAGUUGGUGGGGUAAAGGCCUACCAAGGCGACGAUCCGUAGCGGGUCUGAGAGGAUGAUCCGCCACACUGGGACUGAGACACGGCCCAGACUCCUACGGGAGGCAGCAGUGGGGAAUUUUGGACAAUGGGCGAAAGCCUGAUCCAGCCAUGCCGCGUGAGUGAAGAAGGCCUCGG